This 1470-nucleotide ribosomal RNA is filed under the name uncultured Armatimonadota bacterium. Its description in RNAcentral is "bacterial SSU rRNA". It matches the Rfam family "Bacterial small subunit ribosomal RNA". The record is from RNAcentral. Lineage: Bacteria; Bacillati; Armatimonadota.
GACGAACGCUUGCGGCGUGCCUAAGAAAUGCAAGUCGAACGGGUGGAGCAAUCCAUCAGUGGCGAACGGUCGCGUAACACGUAAGCAACCUGCCCUAAGGUGGGGGACAACAGUCCGAAAGGACUGCUAAUACCGCAUUUUGUCGCAAAGAGGCAUCUUUUUGCGUCCAAAGCCUUGUGCGCCUUACGAUGGGCUUGCGGCCUAUCAUGUAGUUGGUGGGGUAACGGCCUACCAAGCCGACGACAGGUAGCUGGUCUGAGAGGACGAUCAGCCGGAUUGGGACUGAGAUACGGCCCAGACUCCUACGGGGGGCAGCAAUUAGGAAUCUUGCGCAAUGGGGGAAACCCUGACGCAGCGACGCCGCGUGCGGGAGGAAGGCCUUCUGGUCGUAAACCGCUUUUGUCGGGGAAGAAGGAUGUGACGGUACCCGACGAAUAAGCCCCGGCUAACUACGUGCCAGCAGCCGCGGUAAUACAUAUGGGGCGAGCGUUGUCCUAAGUUACUGGGCGUAAAGCGCGCGUAGGCGGUUUCUUAAGUCUGGGGUGAAAGGUUCAGCGCUCAACGUGAACAGUGCCCUGGAGACUGGGAGACUUGAGUCUGGGAGAGGAGAGUGGAAUUCCGGGUGUAGCGGUGAAAUGCGUAGAUAUCCGGAGGAACACCAAUGGCGAAGGCAGCUCUCUGGCCUAAGACUGACGCUGAGGUGCGAAAGCGUGGGGAGCGAACGGGAUUAGAUACCCCGGUAGUCCACGCCGUAAACGAUGAGUGCUAGGUGUUCGAGGUAUCGACCCCUCGGGUGCCGUCGCCAACGCAUUAAGCACUCCGCCUGGGGAGUACGGCCGCAAGGUUGAAACUCAAAGGAAUUGACGGGGGCCCGCACAAGCGGUGGAGCAUGUGGAUUAAUUCGUCACUAACCGAAGAACCUUACCCAGGCUUGACAUGCAGGGAUAACCGGAUCGAAAGGUUCGGGAUUGCCCGCAAGGGGGUAACCUGCACCGGUGUUGCAUGGCUGUCGUCAGCUCGUGUCGUGAGAUGUUGGGUUAAGUCCCGCAACGAGCGCAACCCUCACCGUAUGUUGCCAGCGUAAAGACGGGAACUCUUACGGAACUGCCCGUGCAAGCGGGAGGAAGGUGGGGACGACGUCAAGUCGGCAUGGCCCUUACGUCUGGGGCUUCACACAUGCUACAAUGGGCGGUACAGAGGGGGGCAAACCCGCGAGGGGGAGCGAAUCUCAAAAAACCGUCCUCAGUUCGGAUUGCAGGCUGCAACUCGCCUGCAUGAAGCCGGAAUCGCUAGUAACCGCAGGUCAGCGAAACUGCGGUGAAUACGUUCCCGGGCCUUGUACACACCGCCCGUCAAGUCACCUGAAUUGUCUGCACCCGAAGCCGGUGGCCUAACCCGCAAGGGAAGGAGCCGUCUAAGGUGUGGGGAGUAAGGGGGACUAAGUCGUAACAAGGUAGCCGUAUCGGAAGG